CAUGCAAAUAGUAAGCUCUAUGAU
RNAcentral lists this non-coding RNA (24 nucleotides) under Arabidopsis thaliana (thale cress). Lineage: Eukaryota; Viridiplantae; Streptophyta; Magnoliopsida; Brassicales; Brassicaceae. The record is from RNAcentral.